GCUUACGUCCACACCGCCUGGUUCACGCCUGAUCUCGUUUGAUCUCGGAAGCUAAGAAAGGUUGGGCCUGGUUAGUACUUGGAUGGGAGACCGCCUGGGAAUACCAGGCGCUGUAAGCU
This is a ribosomal RNA of Scophthalmus maximus (turbot), 119 nucleotides long. NCBI's taxonomy places the organism in Eukaryota, Metazoa, Chordata, Actinopteri, Pleuronectiformes, Scophthalmidae. The record is from Ensembl.